RNAcentral lists this ribosomal RNA (1450 nucleotides) under Pavlova sp. CCMP459. Its description in RNAcentral is "partial Bacterial large subunit ribosomal RNA". It matches the Rfam family "Bacterial large subunit ribosomal RNA", at positions 498 to 1972 of the family's 2925-position model. The record is from RNAcentral. Lineage: Eukaryota; Haptophyta; Pavlovophyceae; Pavlovales; Pavlovaceae.
GUACCGUGAGGGAAAGGUGAAAAGAACCCCGGAAGGGGAGUGAAAAGAACAUGAAACCGAAAGCUUACAAGCAGUAGAAGGACGACUAUAACGUCUAACUUCGUUCCUGUUGAAGUAUGAGCCGGCGACUUGUAGGUAGUGGCAGGUUAAGGUUAUACCGGAGCCAUAGUGCAAGCGAGCCUUAAUAGGGCGUCGUCACUAUUUACAGACCCGAACCCGGAUGAUCUAACCAUGGCCAGUGUGAAACUUGGGUAAUGCCAAGUGGAAGUACGAACCGACUGUUGUUGAAAAAACAGCGGAUGAGUUGUGGUUAGGGGUGAAAUGCCAAUCGAAUCCGGAGCUAGCUGGUUCUCCCCGAAAUGUGUUUUGGCACAGCGGUUAAUGUUUGAGUUCAGGGGUAAAGCACUGUUUCGGUGCGGGCUGCUAACGCGGUACCAAAUCGUAGCAAACUAAGAAUACUGAACAUUAUAGUUAACCAGUCAGACUGUGGGGGAUAAGCUCCAUUGUCAAGAGGGAAACAGCCCAGACUACUAGCUAAGGCCCCUAAAUUAUGGCUAAGUGAUAAAGGAAGUGGGAAUUCUAAAACAACCAGGAGGUUUGCUUAGAAGCAGCAAUCCUUUAAAGAGUGCGUAAUAGCUCACUGUUCGAGUGAUCCUGCGCCGAAAAUGUACGGGGCUAAGUCAUAUGCCGAAGCUGUAGGAUAUAAACAUAAUAAAUAUCGGUAGGGGAGCGUUCUAUACCGAGUUGAAGCGCUAACGUAAGUGGGCGUGGAUUGGAUAGAAGUGAGAAUGUUGGCUUGAGUAGCGAAAAUAUUGGUGAGAAUCCAAUACCCCGAAAACCUAAGGGUUCCUCCGGAAGGCUCGUCCGCGGGGGGUUAGUCAGGGCCUAAGCCGAGGCGGAAAAGCGUAGGUGAUGGACAACAGGUUAAUAUUCCUGUACUUUUUAUUACUGAUAUAGAGGGACGGAGAAGGCUAUACUCGCCGAAUGUUGGUUAUCGGUCUAAGUGUUCGAGGUGAUGAGAGACGGUGAAAACGUCUUGAGCUAAGGCAUGAUGGGUAGGUAUAGUAAUUAUACCGAAUGAGUUAAGGUCAGGCUUCCAAGAAAAGCUUUUAAUAUCGUAAGUAAUAAAAACCUGUACCCGAAACCGACACAGGUAGGUAGGUAGAGAAUACCAAGGGGCGCGAGAUAACUCUCUCUAAGGAACUCGGCAAAAUGACCUCGUAACUUCGGAAGAAGAGGUACCCUGAAAAGGGUUGCAAAAUCCAGGCUCAGGCGACUGUUUAUCAAAAACACAGGUCUCCGCUAAGUUGUAAAACGAUGUAUGGAGGCUGACGCCUGCCCAGUGCCGGAAGGUUUAAGAAGUUGGUUAUUCUUUGAAGAAGCUGAUGACUAAAGCCCCGGUGAACGGCGGCCGUAACAAUAACGGUCCUAAGGUAGCGAAAUUCCUUGU